AUUAUGUAAAAGUGCAAAUUUCCAAUGAUGAAAGUCAUUAUAUUAUAUAUCUAAAAUGUACCAAUAAAAGGAUUAAAAAAAAAAAGACGUGAGAGCCUGAAACCACCAGCAGCAAUACCAUGCCUCCUCUACUCUCUGAUAUUGGUGAAGCUUAAACCAGCUAGAGAUUGUGCCCUAGAAGUUUAAGUGAAUUUUCAAUUGAAUUUUACAGAGCAAGGGAUAAUGCACAUACAUCUCUUGCACUCUUUUGACCCUUGGUUAAGGCUCUGGCUAUAGGUUACUCAGACUUUAGUCUUGAGAAAUUGAUCAAAAUCCACAUCUCAAAGCACCUCCCUUAUGAGCUCUCAUGUUCCAGGCCAGCCUGUACUUAACAUAAUCAAGUCAGGUCCAGGAUCAGACAACUAGACAGCUCCUAUGUUCUGGAGCCCACAAAAUUACUCAAAUGAACCAACUCACAGAGACCCCAGGAAUCCUAGCUUAAAUCUACCCUACUUAUCACGUAGAGGCAACCUCGAGCAACUUCAACUUGUCAUCAUCCUAUCUUCCAAUGCAACCCUAGAUAUGUGGAACUUACUUCAAAACUAAAGUAUACAUAUACAUUUCCAACCAUAUGGAAGACAUUAUCAAUAUGGUGACAAUAAAUAGCACAUUUUUCAGGUGACUGCAUUAGAUCAAGAUGAAAGAAUUGUUGGAAAUGUAGAUUCUGUUGUUCCCUUCUAGACCAACUGAAUCAGAAUUUCCAGAGGUUAUUAAAUGGGAAGGUGUGUUUUCAGGUGAUUCCAAUGUACAAACUGCUAUAUAUAAAUCUUAGAUCUACUAGUUAUUAUUGUGAUACAUAGAGAGUUAUUUAACUUUCUUUGAGAUUCAAUGUUCCUGUUUGUAAAAUGAGAAUAGCUUGCCAGAUCAGUGUGACAAAAUUAGUCUAAAAACUUGCCUGAAAAAUAGUAGCUAUUAUUAUCUUAAGAGAGGAAACUAUAUACUAGAAAAAUAUGUGUAAGAAAGGUCAAAUUUAGCAGGUAUUUAGAGUUCAAAAUUUGAAGAGAGAAAGAAGUAAACCCUUCAAUUAUUAAAAAUUUAUUGUAGUACAGAUAUAUUUAACCAACACUGUCCUCUAAAAAUAGUAGAUAUUAUAAUAUUCAAUUUAUAAAUUUAGUUUAUGUGUAAGAUACUUCUAUGACAUGAACAUUCAUUCAUUCAACAAAUACUCAUGCAAGAUCUACCUAAAUCAUUUAUUUCAGUUGCUCCACAGGCAGCCUGGAUAAUUUCCUACUCUGGGUUGUUUUUCAGUGACUGUGUAGGAGUUGGUAUUUAUCAAGAUGGUUUUGAUACAUUCAUAACAAAUCUCUCUUUCAUGUGUUCUUACAAAUUUUCCUUUGAAGUCUUUGUUCCUUCAAAAAACUCAUCACACAAUUAAGGAGUGCCAAGUUUCAAAGAUGAAGUAAUUGUAAUGCAAGUUUUAGAUGACAUUUUUCCACUUGGAAGCGACGAGAGCAAUUGGGAUAGACAUUACCAAAAGGAAAGUGGUAAUUUUACUCUCCAAGUCGAGCUUCCUCUCUGGGAAGUGUAACGAAGAACUGGGUUCCUUGCGCAUCCAGCCGCAGAGGUACUGCAAAGUCGCUCAGCACUGAACAGGAGAUUCUGGACGUUGUUCUUUAGACCCCUGUAAUAAAAAUUAUUUAUUCAGCACAUCAAUAAAUGUGAGGAAAUGAACUUGGGUCCUUGCGCUUGCACAGCAGGUGGCGAAACCACUGAGCCAAAUCCCAGGCCCGAGACAGGAUGAUUUUAUACUGCUCUCUGUGACAGUGGAAGGGACGUCAGCCAGGAAUCCAGCUGGCCUAGAAGCUGGAGAAGGAAAAGCUGGAAAAGACCAUUCUAUGGAGACCCCCAGAAGGAAUCCAGACCUGCUGACAUGUUGAAUUCAGCUUUGAAAAACCAUUUAGUUUUCUCGAGCUUAAAAUUUGUAAAAUAAUACAUUUGUAUUGUUUUAUGCCACUCUGUAUAUGGGAGUUUGUUACAGACUCAAUAAGAAAAGAAUAUGGUGUUAUAUUGAAUCAUCACUUCCCAACUCUUAUCAACUUGUUUAUUUUAGCCUACAAAGAUCCAUUUUAGACUUCUCACCCCAGUAUGAAAGAUGAUAAAUCUGUUUUAUUCUGUUAAAUUUGUAGUAAAAUGUUACAGUAAAAUUGGGGAAUUAAAUUAGAUUUUUAGUUAUCUACCCUUAGUUAUGCAGGAAAUUGGUCUUAUGGCUCUGCCAGGAAGUUCCCUCCUCAGUCAAUGCGGUUAACAAAGGGACUCAAUGAGACUGGCAUUGGCCAGUGAUAGUUCAUUCUUCCUGAGGCCUCCAUCUCUGCCAUUAUGGUCACUUUGUUCACAUGCCCAGUAUCCUUACUCUGGCUGGAUAACACAUAGGGCAUGUCAUUUUGUCUAUUUGGCUCUUCAACUUAGUAUCAAAAGACAAUUAUAACAAAUAAAUUAUAGAUUUAACUGGCUUUUAUUCAUAAUUCAUGAAUUGGCCCUGUCUCCAUUCUUGAGAGUUCCCACUGGACGCUAGCAGCAAGGUUUUGUAAGGUUUGAAUAAGGAAAACAAAUAAUAGAUUGAAAACCUGAUUGAUUAACAAUAGGUUACUUCAGUUUACUCUUUGUUGGUAAGGAAUAAAGCAGGAUAAUUUUCUUAUUACUCUAACUCAAGAGGGAUGGAAUCUCUUAUUUAUAGCAAAAUUAAUCUAUGUGGAGAAUUAUCUGAUACCUUGAAACUUCAGUUUGAUUAUUACCUUCUUGCAUGAGUUAUAUCAUUUUGGUUUGAUGUGGUUGUUGGAGCCUAGUUCAGGAGCUUAGUUCAUGUGGGUCUCCCCUAAUUCUUGGUUAGCAGAGCAAUGCAUUCUGGUGGGUGUUAAUACGUGAUGCUAUGUGCCCACUACCAUCCACCUACCCUUACAUCUCUACUCUAGACCUCCAGUCUCCUCUUCAUUUUUUUUUCUUCGUAGGAUUCUGAUCAUCUAGCUAUGUCAUUCUUUGUUGCCUGUAGGUCUUAUCUCAUAGAAUCUCUUUCUUCUACAUAGAGUGCCUGAUCAUAUAUCCCUUGCAAGCUCACUGCUGAUUGUGGCUGAAAAGCAGCUACUGUCUAUUUUUGGCUUGUACCGAAACACUGAGCAGGAGUUAUAAACCCUGGUCAAGUUCUUUACUUUUCCUUUAGCUGAUCAUCCAGGCCUCCUCCCUCUGAACACAGACACGACCUGAGGGCCACUUGUGAAACUGUGGUAGAUAACACCCAGGUCUGGGCUACCUAUACAUGCAGCUCUGCUCCUGCUCAGGCCUGACCUCAUAUGUAUCAUUUACACUGUACAUAGGAUACGGUUUGACCUGCCUCAAUUUCUGACUAAGUCCAACAGAACCCAAGUCAAGAUAUGAAAUUCAGGAUCCAUAGCCACUUAGUGUCCUGUGCACAGAGUGCUAAUUUUAAUAGGGAGGAGUAUGGCCUUGGGAAUGGGCAUCUAUUCAGAUGUAGUCAUGACAUGUUCCAGAGUCCUAGGUUUUUCCAUUUGUGGCCUUGACUGGGUUUUCUGCAGCUUGGAAAUUCAAACUUUUACAUUCUGAGUUUUAUCUUCACCAUUUUAUUUUCUUUAACUAUAAGGCAUAAAGCCUCUUUUCAAGCUGCCAAAAUGGCUCUCUGCUCAUCACACUUUAAAUUUUUUAUUCAGCUCACUGCUUUUCAUUAUUCUUAUGUAGGACAUCAAUGUGAUUUAGUAACACUCAGCCAGUUCUAUUCCUUUACAUGCAUUGCUCCCUUCCACACACACAAACCACCCCUUACUUUCACUUGAAGCAUUACACAGGUCAGUGUACUUCCUUCUGCCAGAGCAUUCUUUCAAAUUACCACCAGCAAAAGAUUAAGGCAGACUACACAGAGUACCAGAGAGGAUUGUGCUCCAUGCAUUACCUAGGAUCAAUCACUCGGCACCAAGUAAUCAGUGAAUGAUCCAAUCCCUUAACACUAUCUCUUCAUUUGGUUUCAUGCACAACUUCUUAUAGCAGGGCAUGAGAUCUAUGCAACCAUAUAGAGCCUACGCUUAGAAGAGUCCUAUGCUUGCUUUAAUGCUCUGCUGCUCUUGUCAGUGGAAAUUCUUAAUAACUUUUAAAUAAGGUUAUUUACAUUUUCAUUUUACACCAGGCUUCAUGAAUUAUGUAGCACUUUGUGACUAGUGUCAAAUUUGUUCUGUUUGCUUGUUAGUUUUGUUCUUGAGACAAGGUCUCACUUUGUAGUGCAGACUGGACUUGAACUCACUAUGUAGUCCAAGCUGGCUUUGAACUUGCAACAAUCCUCCUGCCUCCACCUCCUCAGUAUUGGAAUUGCAGGUUUGCACUACCACACCUGGCACUAGUAUCAGAUUUGUUAACUGGAUCCUCUCUGAAUCAGAUGCUCAGAUUAUUAGGAGUACAAGACCUUUAAAAGGGAAGAACCAAAGAAGGAAGAAGUAUAAGGAAAUUCUAUACUACCUUCUCAAAUAUUUGUAAUUUUAAAACUGUCUAAAAUUAAGAUCUAUUUUAAGCAGCAGAUAUGUGACAUUCAAAAGAAAUUUUGGUCAAAAUAAUGAUUAAAUUGAAAUAUAUUAAAAUACCCAAUCGAAUGCCUGGCAUAAAAAACAAGCUCAAUAAUGGUAUUUCCUUUUUUAAAAGAAAGCUAACAAUCUUUUAUUAAAACUGGUAUGAAUUUUAGUCUGAUGUUAUUACUUAAUACAUUUAAACAAACAUGAUCCAAACACACAGUGAGAUACAUCUUUAACUCAAGCCCCAUGUUUAAGACAGAAGCCUUUAAGAAAGAAAAAUAGCUACUUUUGUGUAUCACAAGAUAAAAACUGGAAUAGUAAAUUUAUAGAGCUGAGAUUUUCCUCCAUAUCCUGUGUUGUAUAAUUAACUCUUUAGUCUCAGAACCAAACAUAAUGUCUAUCAACACCUUCCAUCACUCCAAUCUGUACUAGGUAUCAUAUUUUUGUUUUUGUUUUUGCUUUGUUUUCUGAGGCAGAGUCUCACUGUAUAGUCCAAGC
Long non-coding RNA from Heterocephalus glaber (naked mole-rat), 5042 nucleotides. Lineage: Eukaryota; Metazoa; Chordata; Mammalia; Rodentia; Bathyergidae. The record is from Ensembl.